Molecule: ribosomal RNA, 253 nt
Filed under: uncultured Clostridium sp.
Lineage: Bacteria; Bacillati; Bacillota; Clostridia; Eubacteriales; Clostridiaceae
Also listed under: 2 other names
Description: partial 16S ribosomal RNA
Rfam family: Bacterial small subunit ribosomal RNA
Source: RNAcentral
UACGUAGGGGGCAAGCGUUAUCCGGAUUUACUGGGUGUAAAGGGAGCGUAGACGGCGAUGCAAGUCUGGAGUGAAAGCCCGGGGCUCAACCCCGGGACUGCUUUGGAAACUGUGUUGCUGGAGUGCAGGAGAGGUAAGUGGAAUUCCUAGUGUAGCGGUGAAAUGCGUAGAUAUUAGGAGGAACACCAGUGGCGAAGGCGGCUUACUGGACUGUAACUGACGUUGAGGCUCGAAAGCGUGGGGAGCAAACAGG